Molecule: long non-coding RNA, 325 nt
Organism: Chinchilla lanigera (long-tailed chinchilla)
Lineage: Eukaryota; Metazoa; Chordata; Mammalia; Rodentia; Chinchillidae
Exons: 2
Source: RefSeq, a predicted model, not a curated record
AGUGGGUAUCUGUCCUCCACUGGUCAUGGAGCGACUCACAGAGCAGUUUGGUCACAGCGAGAGCUGGAAGCCAGCGUUGGCAAAGAAGGAGGCCACACCCAGGAAUAAACCCUGGCCUCAAGCUGACCCCUGGCCAUGGCAGUGAGUGGGAGAACAACCCUGGCAGAGUCCACAUUCACCCCAUCAACAAAGGACCCAGACCCUCAAAACGAGACCGACAGAAUCUCCAGCAAGGGGUCUGGGGCAAGCAGCAGCUUUAUCUACAGCAGAAUCAAAAGAAAGAGGAUACAGCAAGUCAGAAUCAUUAAAACAGAGAUCAAGAAAG